GGUCCUUGGAUGGAGGUGGUUGUCGAUGGGAUUUUCAAGAUUGUUGUGUCGCAGCAAAGUUGCGGUAGUUAGCUCUCUGUUCUUUUUGUGGUUUCACACUGGGCAUUUGUUGCCAGAACCAAAGAUCCAAGCAGUGACGAUGGCAGGCGAAGGUGGUCCAGCAAUGACGAAUGUAGGACAUAAAUGCAGGGUAGGCUCAACUUCAAGAAUACUCGCAUACACCAUAAUGCAUGAACAAUAAGAGUGGCCCGAGGUGCAUAAUUUUUUUGUCAUGACGACAUUGAUGUGGAUUCAUGCACUUUAUGCUCAUCCAAUCCAAGAGUGCAUGAAUAAGAUAAAUUCAACAUGGAAUAGACAAAGAGAUACCUUGCUAAUUGAUAACUUCCUCUAAUAUUUAGAUGCUCCGAUUCCGAAACGGCAUGCCAUCUAUCAAAAAAUAGCUUGUAUCCAUUACAUUACAUGUCAGUCAGUAAAAACUAAAAAGACGCUCUAAUAUUAUAUACAGUAGAUGGCAUUGGGUAAGCUAGUAGAUUGUUUUGUUCUAACCUUGUCGUUGAUUAUGAUCCAACAAACUUUCCUUGUGUUGUAAGUUGACACAUCUUUCUUUGAAUAGCUUGUCGAUGUCUGAAUUCAAAAUAGCAGUAAGAAAAUGCUGAGAAUGCCAUGCACUUUGGAUUAACCUAGAACAAUCUUGACCUCAGAUUAACAACCAUAAGCAACACUCCAAAGCACAAUACGUUCAAAGACAAAAUUGCAUGUGAAAGCAAGUGCAGUUUGGAUACAAAGGUAACGAGCACUCCCAAGUCACCAUUGCAGUUUCAGGACAAGGAUAUAUACUAAGGAUGAAAUUCACCGUUCCAUUUUCCUCCGGAACGUGCAUCGAUUCCUUCACCUGCAUUGCAACAUUUACUCAGGCCAAUAAAGUUGAAUCGUCAAGAUUACAAGUACUUUACCCUCGUUGUUGGAUCUUGGGGUAUAUAACAAUCUGUGGUUCUGGACAUGGCCUCUUCCUUCCGGCAGCGGUGGCCCAGUCUCCCUCUCCCGGUGCCGUCCAACCUGCCGGCUAGGGUCCGCUGGCAAGCCGUGCGUCAUGGGGCGGCGGCGGCGGCCUGCGAAUGCGUCCCGUGCGCGUGGGGUGCCGCGGUCAGUUCUCUGGGCUGGUGCGAUUUGGAUGUGCGAC
Molecule: long non-coding RNA, 1180 nt
Filed under: Hordeum vulgare
Lineage: Eukaryota; Viridiplantae; Streptophyta; Magnoliopsida; Poales; Poaceae
Description: long non-coding RNA (HVUL_LNC002576)
Source: RNAcentral